AACGAACGCUGGCGGCAGGCUUAACACAUGCAAGUCGAACGCAUCCUUCGGGGUGAGUGGCAGACGGGUGAGUAACGCGUGGGAACGUGCCCUUCAGUUCGGGAUAACCCAGGGAAACUUGGGCUAAUACCGGAUACGUGCGAGAGCAGAAAGAUUUAUCGCUGAAGGAUCGGCCCGCGUCUGAUUAGCUAGUUGGUGGGGUAAUGGCCCACCAAGGCGACGAUCAGUAGCUGGUCUGAGAGGAUGAUCAGCCACAUUGGGACUAGGACACGGCACAAACUCCUACGGGAGGCAGCAGUGGGGAAGAUUGGACAAUGGGCGAAAGCUAGAUCCAGCCAUGCCGCGUGAGUGAUGAAGGCCUUAGGGUUGUAAAGCUCUUUCGUCCGGGACGAUAAUGACGGUACCGGAAGAAGAAGCCCCGGCUAACUUCGUGCCAGCAGCCGCCGUAA
This 449-nucleotide ribosomal RNA is filed under the name uncultured bacterium. Its description in RNAcentral is "partial 16S ribosomal RNA". It matches the Rfam family "Bacterial small subunit ribosomal RNA", at positions 29 to 523 of the family's 1533-position model. The record is from RNAcentral.